Molecule: ribosomal RNA, 450 nt
Filed under: Araneidae sp. Halmahera
Lineage: Eukaryota; Metazoa; Arthropoda; Arachnida; Araneae; Araneidae
Description: partial 16S ribosomal RNA
Rfam family: Bacterial large subunit ribosomal RNA
Source: RNAcentral
UUUCCAUUAUAAUUUAAUUAUAGAUAUUUCCUGCUCAAUGAAUUUUUAAAUAGCCGCGGAAUAUUAACCGUGCUAAGGUAGCAUAAUCAUUAGCCUUUUAAUUAAAGGCCAGUAUGAACGGAAUAACAUUUUAAAUUCUUUAUUUAUUAUUUUAUUUAAAAUUAAAUUAAGAAUAAAAAUGUUCUUAUUUUAUAAAAAGACGACAAGACCCUUUUGAACUUUACUUUAGUUUAGCUGGGGCAGCUAAAUAAAUAUUAUUUUAUAAAAAAUUUUUUUAAUAAAUGACCCUAUUUGUUAGAAUAAAUGAACAAGUUACCAGAGGGAUAACAGCGUAAUAUCUUUCUAAAGUUCUUAUAUAAAAAGAUGAUUACGACCUCGAUGUUGAAUUAUUGUAACUUUCCAAGUGCAAUCAUUUUUAAAAGUAAGUCUGUUCGACUUUUAAUCCAAUAC